RNAcentral lists this ribosomal RNA (252 nucleotides) under uncultured bacterium. Its description in RNAcentral is "partial 16S ribosomal RNA". It matches the Rfam family "Bacterial small subunit ribosomal RNA", at positions 524 to 776 of the family's 1533-position model. The record is from RNAcentral.
GACGUAGGGCGCAAGCGUUGUCCGGAUUUAUUGGGCGUAAAGAGCUCGUAGGCGGCUUGUCGCGUCGACUGUGAAAACCCGCAGCUUAACUGCGGGACUGCAGUCGAUACGGGCAGGCUAGAGUUCGGUAGGGGAGACUGGAAUUCCUGGUGUAGCGGUGAAAUGCGCAGAUAUCAGGAGGAACACCGGUGGCGAAGGCGGGUCUCUGGGCCAUACUGACGCUGAGGAGCGAAAGCGUGGGGAGCGAACAGG